AUUGAACGCUGGCGGCAGGCCUAACACAUGCAAGUCGAACGAGUGGCGGACGGGUGAGUAAUGGCUGGGAAAAUGCCCGAUGGAGGGGGAUAACUACUGGAAACGGUAGCUAAUACCGCAAACCAUCGGAUGAGCCCAGAUGGGAUUAGCUAGUAGGUGGGGUAACGGCUCACCUAGGCGACGAUCCCUAGCUGGUCUGAGAGGAUGACCAGCCACACUGGAACUGAGACACGGUCCAGACUCCUACGGGAGGCAGCAGUGGUGAAUAUUGCACAAUGGGCGCAAGCCUGAUGCAGCCAUGCCGCGUGUAUGAAGAAGGCCUUCGGGUUGUAAAGUACUUUCAGCGAGGAGGCGUUACUCGCAGAAGAAGCACCGGCUAACUCCGUGCCAGCAGCCGCGGUAAUUC
This 406-nucleotide ribosomal RNA is filed under the name uncultured bacterium. RNAcentral's name for it is "partial 16S ribosomal RNA". It matches the Rfam family "Bacterial small subunit ribosomal RNA", at positions 30 to 526 of the family's 1533-position model. The record is from RNAcentral.